CACUGGCGCGCGCCCCGUGUCCGCGCCGGAACCUCAAAGCAACAACCCAGCAGCCGAUCCCGGGCUCCCCCCUCCAGUCCUGCUGCUCUCCGAGGACCCACCAAGCCCUAAAAUUCACGUUUGGCCUCAACCGCAGUAUGGAUCUUGAUCCUUUCAAGCUGGAUAUUGACGAGCUGCUAGAUGAUUAUGCCAAGGAAAAUUUCAAGAGAGUGUGGAUGGCCAAAAAGUUCUCUUACAUCUAUGAGGGCAGACCCAAGAUCAACUCGGGUGUUUUCAUGCAGUCCCUCCUUUUGCAUUGAAUCGUUUGAAGUCUAAACGGUAUCUCCGAGGAGCUCACGAGAGUUCAUUGUGGGGAACUUGCGAGGAUUCUACGAAUCAAUAAUCUUGGACAUGGACUGGUUUGGCAGGUUUAGAGAGGUACAACUAUUUUUCUCGAGUUGCCCGCUUUUUGAGGGACGAAAACGAAGAAAAUUCGCUACGGAGGCUUUCUAGUUGGACCGGUAGACUUGUGACCGGGUCCGUUGCACAUUUUUUUGGGGGAUUCAAUAAGCUACGAAGAAACCAAACCGGUUUUCUAGCAAUCGGUUAACGACGGACCAAACAAGAAGACGGACGAAACCAAACGUACCAAAGUAUGGAAAUGCUUCCUACUUUAUUAUUAGGUAUAUAGAUAAAAUAGAUUUAAAAGGGACAAAAUUUUAGGAAGAAUCU
Lolium rigidum is the source of this 711-nucleotide long non-coding RNA. RefSeq lists it as uncharacterized. The record is from RefSeq and is a predicted model, not a curated record. The transcript is spliced from 4 exons. NCBI's taxonomy places the organism in Eukaryota, Viridiplantae, Streptophyta, Magnoliopsida, Poales, Poaceae.